RNAcentral lists this unclassified non-coding RNA (326 nucleotides) under soil metagenome. RNAcentral describes it as "partial contains 5.8S ribosomal RNA, internal transcribed spacer 2, and large subunit ribosomal RNA". The stretch from base 1 to 120 matches the Rfam family "5.8S ribosomal RNA", at positions 35 to 154 of the family's 154-position model. The record is from RNAcentral.
GAUGAAGAACGCAGUGAAAUGCGAUAAGUAGUGUGAAUUGCAGAAUUUAGUGAAUCAUCGAAUCUUUGAACGCACAUUGUGCCCUAUAGUAUUCUGUAGGGCAUGCCUGUUCGAGCGUUAUUGAGACCUCAAGCUCUGCUUGGAAAUGGGCGCUUGUCUUGCCUUGCAGACUCGCCUUAAAACCAUUGGCAGCUGAUUUACAAUGUUUGGUGCACAGUACAUGAGCCCAAGUGUUGCAAUGAGUGGCCCAAAAGUAUACAAUAGAAGCUUAACCUCGGAUCAGGUAGGGAUACCCGCUGAACUUAAGCAUAUCAAUAAGCGGAGGA